RNAcentral lists this non-coding RNA (24 nucleotides) under Arabidopsis thaliana (thale cress). The record is from RNAcentral. Lineage: Eukaryota; Viridiplantae; Streptophyta; Magnoliopsida; Brassicales; Brassicaceae.
CCCGUCCCGCCAAACCCGUCCCGU